This is a long non-coding RNA of Apodemus sylvaticus (European woodmouse), 585 nucleotides long. RefSeq lists it as uncharacterized. The transcript has 3 exons. The record is from RefSeq and is a predicted model, not a curated record. Lineage: Eukaryota; Metazoa; Chordata; Mammalia; Rodentia; Muridae.
AAGUCCCGCCCCAUCUCAGGACUGAAGUCCCGCCCCAUCUCAGGACGGCAAGAUUUCAACUCCAUCAAGGUAAGAUCCCGUCUGCAAACCUUCUGUUGUCUGGAAGCUGCCAGCAUUCAACCUGGUAUCUUCUCCAGCUCGCCUUUGGGACUGCUGGACAUUCCCAUGCCACAUUUUUUUUUUCUCCUGGGUGUUUUUGACCCCCUGUUGCUGUCCUACUCUUUGAGCUUGUGCCUUUGUCUCCUCAGCAAGGCCUCGUCAGGUAGCUGUAUGCCAUGGCCCGGACUUUAGGAAUUAACUCUUACAAAACUCUCACCCGCUAGCAAUAUGCACUCAAGUGUCUGCUGGAGCGGCAGGACCUGGGACUCUCCUGAAAGACCCUGGUAGACUAAGGCUGUGGGGAGAGGGAUCUUCCUUAAGCAGAUUUGAAGGAGGUGACCCUGUGGGGAGGGAUGACCAGGACACUGUUAUCUCUGCCUUACCCCAGCCCCCGACUUUUCUGUGUAUUUGAAAAUUUCCCUAAGUUUGCAUGAAUAAAGAAGCGACUGUGCAGCUAGCCGUGAGAUGGUCUGUGAAUAGCAAAGU